ACACCCCUUCUGCUUCUCAGGGGACGCUGGUCCACAGACCGAGGCCCCGUUGCGCGCGGCCGCCUUCGGAGCGCCGCCCUCCUCCCGAAACCGGCCGGGGCGAGUGGCUGCAAGAAGCUGCGGUUUGGCCCGCGGGAGAGGGGGGCUUCCCCGCUGGGGUUGUCUGACGCGAACGCCUUCCUGGCCCCAGCCAGGCGCCCUGAGAUGAUGAAGGUUUAAGAAGCAGCAUCAUCAGCGAACUGUGUUUUGAAGAUUUGAGGGAAGGGCUGACCUCAGGAUUUUAUACUAGGUAUUUGAUGCAAUGCAGACUGGAAUCCUCCCCACAAGGAUGCCCUGGCCUGAGUGGCACAGAGAUCAAUGCAGCAGUCAUUUCCUGGGCGGGGAAAGCCCAUCCACAGUGGCCCUGGAAUGAUGCUGGUCUUACCUUCUAUUCCUAGGAAGGCCCUAUCUCAAGUGGCUCUGGUCCAUGCAAACAGAUGGAAACGGGUGUGGGGAAGCACAGGCCUCCUACUCAUGUUAAGAGAGCUGCUCAGAGGCAGGAAUCCAGAACCAGGAAUGUCCCCAGUGGCUGCCCAAGGUACAAGUGGCAGGCAGCGGGGAGAAUGGCAUGUGAAGUCAUUUGUAACCUGGCCCCAGCUUGGUUUCCAAGUCUCAGAGGAGAUUAUGGAUAUGGUAGUGCCUGGCUCAGUGCUUAAAAUCCAUUCUCCUGCUAUUUCCCUCACCUACACUCAGCCCCACAAGCCGAGAUGUUUGCUGGACAUUUCAGGCACUGCCACCCAGUUCUGUCUACCUUACCUGCUAACACCUGUUGACCAUCCUUCAUGUGAAGGCUUCCCCAAAUACUUCCCAAUCAAAACACUAAAAGGCAGACCUGAAAUUAAUAAAAAUGUUAAUUAAAUCUGUACAACAGAAAGCAUAAUGCCAGUCUUUUUAAUUAUGAAAUGUAGCAUUCAUAUAAAUUUCAUUGCUUUUGAAAACAAUCUAUGGCUAGAUUCUCCUGGGUUUGUAUGAUGAUUACUGAAAACUGUAGAAAAUCUAAAAUCAAGCAAGUUGUUUAUAGGCAAUUACUUUCAGAAGCAAAAAUUAUAAAAGAACCAUGAGAUUUUUAAAGAGAAAAAAUUACAUUUGAUAUGAGAUAAUCAUGCAUUUUAAGAUGUUUAAAAUGACAUGGAGUGGGGUCCCCAGACCAGGAGAGCUGAGGGCUUAUGAAGGACCUAAGGGAGUGAGACCUGUUAUGUAAUAAGCCCCCAUUCUGGGGGCAGCACCACAGAGGCGGGACCCCAGAAGUAGAAGAAGAGCCCUCCUGCACUGGGUGGUGAAGUUGGUAUCAGCCCCUAGUUUGUGACCCUGGACAGAUUUCUCUGCUCUCCAGCCCUCAGAGUCCUCAAUAAAACAAAAACAUAUGCAAAUAUACAAAA
This 1418-nucleotide long non-coding RNA is filed under the name Homo sapiens (human). Its description in RNAcentral is "HSALNT0317234". Lineage: Eukaryota; Metazoa; Chordata; Mammalia; Primates; Hominidae. The record is from RNAcentral.